Molecule: ribosomal RNA, 225 nt
Filed under: uncultured bacterium
Lineage: Bacteria
Description: partial 16S ribosomal RNA
Rfam family: Bacterial small subunit ribosomal RNA
Source: RNAcentral
CGGAACACGUACACAACCUUCCUUAAAGUGGGGGAUAGCCCAGAGAAAUUUGGAUUAAUACCCCGUAACAUUAUGAAGUGGCAUCACUUUAUAAUUAUAGAUUUAUCGCUUAGAGAUGGCUGUGCGGCUGAUUAGGUAGUUGGCGGGGUAAUGGCCCACCAAGCCUGCGAUCAGUAACUGGUGUGAGAGCACGACCAGUCACACGGGCACUGAGACACGGGCCCG